Lycium ferocissimum is the source of this 2622-nucleotide long non-coding RNA. RefSeq lists it as uncharacterized. The record is from RefSeq and is a predicted model, not a curated record. The transcript is spliced from 3 exons. NCBI's taxonomy places the organism in Eukaryota, Viridiplantae, Streptophyta, Magnoliopsida, Solanales, Solanaceae.
UCAACAAAAGCUCUGAGUAAUAUUUAGAAUCAAAGUGUCUAGCUUUUAGAAGCUCUAAAAACAUGAAUUAAAGGGGAUGUUGGGUUCAGAAAAACAACAAUGAUUUCUUGUCUAUACAAUUCAACUAUGCAGAACAUGUUAUACGUUCAGGUGGCUGUUUAAAUGAAGAAACUAUGGAAUUGAUUUAUGAGCUUCAAGACUAACUAUGGUAGUGAGAGAUUUGGGUUGAAACUUCAUCAUUGGAGCUUGGAUUGAGGCCAUUGGAGAUCAUUUGAGAGGAGAUUGGUGUUUCAAGAAAGGUUUGCCUACUGGUUAUAAGGCAAGUGAGACUUAAACUUCUUGAAUACUUGCUUUUCGACGUCUUGAUUUACAAAUUGCAUUAUUUGAUUUUCAAACAACUUGUACUUUGUGGAGCGAGCGUGUACUAGGUCAUGUAUAUUAUUUUAUGACGAAUUGUGACUUUGAGCCGUUUCUUCUAUGAAACCAUUCCAAUUGUUUUCAACUUUGAUAUCGUGAACUCUAUGAUAUUCCAACAUGACUGUUGAAUGAUUUCCUAUAAAAUGAGAAUGGCAUAAUAGGGAUUUACUGUUAUAUCAUGCUAGGGAUAUCUGACAUACUUAUAUACAUUACUUGAGUAGUCUUUCAUGACACUAGCUAAUUAUAUGAUUACUUGUACCGUAUAUUGUACAUAUUAGUUGGUAUUUGGCUGUUUGGUAUAGGGGACCUGAUUCCCGAGGGCUAUGGUUCAAGAUGAUUGGUCUAGGGAAUUUGACUCCCGAGGGCCUGUGGUUUCGGAUUUUGGUCUAGGGAACUUGACUCUCGAGGGCCUAUGGUUCAUGGUGAUUGGUCUAGGGAACUUGACUCCCGAGGGCCUAUGGUUCAGGAUUUUGGUUUAGGAAACUUGACUCCCGAGGGCCUAUGAUUUGACAUGGUGUGGUUGACCAGUAUCUAUGUGUUAUUUGUCUUACCUAUUGCUUGAGUAUACUAAUUAAGGUUAUAUAUGUAUACCGUUUGUUUCUUUCAUGCAUUUUAUUUUUAAGACUUGCUCAACAGGGUAUAGUUGCGGGGCGGGUCGAUGAUCUUGUUGGGAGUUACGCUCACUAUUGUUGUUUUUUAUUCUGUUUGUACAAAUUCUAACUCUAGUACUGUAGCGGUUCCUCUCUGAUCUCGUUCGAGGCACUACUAUUUUCAGUUGAGAUGAGCCAACCGCAUUCUGAUCGUGGUGGCACCUUUACUAUAAAUUUUACUUCUUCUCUCUUUUGAUUGUAUCGGGUUGUGUCCCUAGACUCUUGUAUUUGAAUUUGUAUUAGAUGCUCCUUGACUAUUUUGUGAGAGAUGGAUUUCAAUUCUUAGGUGUUUUCAGGCUUCAGGAUAUUUUCUUAUUAGUAUUGAUGGUUGUGGACACUUUAUGUUUGAUGGAUUGUCGUUUGGUUGAUUAGAGGGAUUAUUGACAUGCUUCUGUUUUAGGGGAAAUUCUGCCAAAUUUUUAAUGAUAUUUGGUAUUUGAUAGAUUAAUAUUUGUUUGCUUGGUAUGGGUAGUUGCUUGCUAUGUGCAAUCACGGCCUUUGAAUUUGGGUCGUGACACCUAGUGAAAGUUCAUAGCACAAAGCAAUAAUGUAAUGAUUUUUGAGAAAGAGAUAUGAUGGUUGGAAUAGGUCCAUAGACAUGUUCCAUUACACGUGAGCAGAUACAGAUGCAGGCACAUGAACACAGUUGGUACAAAUAUGUGAACUUAAGAUAGCAGAUCAGAGAUGGAAUGGUGAGUGCACAAGUGAAUGGAACUGCUCAAAAUACAUGUACCUGAUACACCCAAGCACAGUCCAAGAGGAGAGAAUAAAGUGGCCUGGUCACAGAACAAGGCAGCAAAGGGAGGGAAGAUCAGGAGAUAAGAUGACUCGGUGGAAAAAGUAGUUCAAUGAAGAGAUAGAAAGUGCACACAAGAUGGUCUAUCAAGUGGAGGAAUGGCCACAGGUCAUUAGGUGCAUUGGUUGAUUGACCCAGCAGUGAGAAGUGAUGAAGACUCAGACUCAGAAGACAACGUUCAGAAGGAAGAAAUUGUUCACCUAAAGAGUUUACAGACAAAGCAUGUGAGUCACGUUAACAAAAAAAUCAGGUCUGCAAACACGUUCCAACAAAGAGUAAGAACAAAAUCAAAAGUCAAAGAGUGAGUCAAGGUUGAAGACAUGAUUUAUUCCAGCAAUGAAUAAAGGCAUGAGAAGCAGACAGACACAGAGCAGCACAUGAUCAAUGAAACAGGUCUGUCAACAUGCUCCAUCAUCCAUACCAAAAGCAGACUUAAGAAGAAGUCAAAUGUAUGAACGUCAAAGGGAUGAUGAAACAAGUUUGAGGACAUGUCCUAUCUCAGAUAGUGCAUUGAUUCAGAGACAGACGAACCAGGUGGAUGAAACAGGUUGGUGAACAUGUUCUAAGGUAAGUCCUACAACAACUAGGAUUUUCAGUUUAUGAAAAGAACUUGGCGGUCUGAUAAGUUUUAUGUGAUUUAGAAGUGAUCGAGAAGAAAUCGAUUGAAAACAAGUCAUAAAGAGGCCAAAUUGAAGAAAACAAGAAAAGUGGCUAAAUUGCAAAAACUGCCAGAUUUGCAAUUUCGAAAAUCUGAAACUU